This 253-nucleotide ribosomal RNA is filed under the name uncultured bacterium. Its description in RNAcentral is "partial 16S ribosomal RNA". It matches the Rfam family "Bacterial small subunit ribosomal RNA", at positions 524 to 776 of the family's 1533-position model. The record is from RNAcentral.
UACGUAGGUGGCAAGCGUUAUCCGGAAUUAUUGGGCGUAAAGCGCGCGCAGGCGGUUUCUUAAGUCUGAUGUGAAAGCCCACGGCUCAACCGUGGAGGGUCAUUGGAAACUGGGGAACUUGAGUGCAGAAGAGAAAAGCGGAAUUCCACGUGUAGCGGUGAAAUGCGUAGAGAUGUGGAGGAACACCAGUGGCGAAGGCGGCCUUUUGGUCUGUAACUGACGCUGAGGCGCGAAAGCGUGGGGAGCAAACAGG